UACGGAGGGUGCAAGCGUUAAUCGGAAUUACUGGGCGUAAAGCGCGCGUAGGUGGUGAUUUAAGUCGGAUGUGAAAGCCCUGGGCUCAACCUGGGAACUGCAUCCGAUACUGGGUCACUUGAGUAUAGUAGAGGGUUGUGGAAUUCCAUGUGUAGCGGUGAAAUGCGUAGAUAUGUGGAGGAACAUCAGUGGCGAAGGCGGCAACCUGGACUAAUACUGACACUGAGGUGCGAAAGCGUGGGGAGCGAACAGG
Molecule: ribosomal RNA, 253 nt
Filed under: uncultured bacterium
Lineage: Bacteria
Description: partial 16S ribosomal RNA
Rfam family: Bacterial small subunit ribosomal RNA
Source: RNAcentral